RNAcentral lists this long non-coding RNA (643 nucleotides) under Calidris pygmaea (Spoon-billed sandpiper). RNAcentral describes it as "lncRNA (ENSCPGG00000008650.1)". Lineage: Eukaryota; Metazoa; Chordata; Aves; Charadriiformes; Scolopacidae. The record is from RNAcentral.
GCUUGCCCAGUCCAACACAAGCAGUUUUUUAUUAAUUAAUAAAUUAUUCUCUCUUUCUCUGCAGAUUGAGAAUUCUUCAAAGUGGUUUACAUGCAGUUCUUAGCACAGCUGCUUGCUGGGGGUGUGUGCUCUGUGUGGGGGAUCUAUCAGCAGCCUGGCUACCUCUCUGUGAUCUUGGCUUUACACGGGACAUGAUAUAAUCUUUGAUGUUUUGGAACUCCAGGAGAAAAUCAGGAUGUUCCACCAGCAAAGGUCUCUUGGAAUUGCUGAAAGAAGACUGUAGCAGUCCUGGUUCUUGCACUUCCUUUUCUUAAGGAAAUUUACUUUAAAAGAAGUAUGGAAUGAAGAGUUUGGGAUUUCCUUGUACCAUCAAGAAAUCUUCUUGUUGCAGAUUCCAGCUUGAAUCCAGGCCAGGCCAACAGAGGAAGUCUUUUAGAGCUGUGGACAUCAAGGAAGACAGAGAAUCAUUUUUCCUCUCAAGAAAGGAAAGAAAGGGAAACUACUGUAGAAGGAAGAAUUACAUGGCCAGGAAGCAGGUAUUUCCCCUGCCUUUUUCCAUUGCAUGAAUGUAUUUGUGCACUGCAUAUAUGAAAAAAACCCUCCAUUUGCUGGUAGGUCGUAUCCCUUCCUUUCCAAAACCUGC